AUGGCUUGGGAAACUGAUAAAAUAUUGUCUUCAAACUUUCCUUUUUGUAGUGCCUGCAUUGGCCCAAAAUUCAACUCUUAUUUCAGUUUUCUACCUCACUGCAAUACCUUCUGGAUAUCUUUACAAUGUCAACAUCCAAUUUCACAGCCUCAAUGGAACUUGGCCAAUUCUACUUGAUUUAGGAAGAGAAUAAGACAGUAUUUACCUAGGUAAGUACUUAGAUGUCUCUGUCACUUCAGAUUCCUUCAGAUUUUAACUUUACCUUCAGCAAGUUCAUUUGAACCACAGUGCAGAGAAAAGAGAUGUCUUUAAUGAGUUUCUUUAAUAGGAGACAAUUUCAAAACAUAGUGAAAUGUAAAAUGAAACUAAAUUUUAAGAAUAGCUCUGAAAACUGUUUCAAACUGUCGAGUAGAGGUCGCUUUUUACUCUAAACAUUGAAAAGUGUUGGAAUUGAUUUGUUUCCCUAGGAAACAAAUGAUGAGUUCUGCUUUUUUCCCCUACUUGAGAACCAUGAACAAAAAAUGCCAUGGCGGUCCCUCAGGUUGAAAGAUCUAAAAACGUGUUUGUUUUGAAUAGGUAUCCUAAAUGACAUUUCUCAUUGUAAGCAGAAAAUAUCAGCAUUAUUUGUGAAGGUCUAGAGAUCAAGAAUCUAUCUAUGUAUAAGCCUUGUUGCUCAGCUUAUUUAGUUAAAUCUGGAAGGAACCAAAUGUGUGAUGUCUUAUUUUGAGUGAACACUUGACAUUGCUAUCAGAUAAAAUUACAAGCUAAAACUCUGCAGAAAGUCACAUUGUAAUUAAGCUAUUCUAAUUGAACGCUCUAUCUUUUUUAAUAGUCACCAUUGCCUUCAGUUUAUUAGUAAACAUUAUCUAAUAAAGUACUCUGUUGUAUAGGAAAGUUUGAGCAAAAGGAAAAUCGUUUGGGGAAAUCAGUAAGCAAUGAAUUGAAGCUGAGACGUUUUAUGUUAUCUUGUAGCAGCCUGGCAAUUAUGUUUCUCCGCAGAAUGAAUGCUUAGUAUUAAUUUUGUGCAUGUAGAGAGCAUCUCUGGUGAUUCGGAAGUGAUAGAGAGGCACUUCUUGGUACUUUCCAGUUCCCAUAUAAACCACUGCAUUGAAAGUAAUUAAAAAACACAUAGUUAGGUGCUUAAAGAAUAAUUUUUUUUUCCAUUACU
RNAcentral lists this long non-coding RNA (1168 nucleotides) under Papio anubis (olive baboon). Its description in RNAcentral is "lncRNA (ENSPANG00000039947.1)". The record is from RNAcentral. Lineage: Eukaryota; Metazoa; Chordata; Mammalia; Primates; Cercopithecidae.